GGAGUAUGAAAAUAAAAAAUACGUACUUAAUUUAACUAGCUCUGAUACCAAAUGAUACGAACUCAUAUUCAUUGUCAAAAUCGAGUCGUAAGUUGUCCGAUCAGUAAAUUAAGUAAUCACGUUUUUAGUUUAACAAAAGGUUGUUUUAAAGAAGAUAGUGAAAAACAAAGAACGUUAAUAAAAAAUAGGAUGAUGGAAUGAUGGUAAAACC
This 211-nucleotide long non-coding RNA is filed under the name Gossypium raimondii (Peruvian cotton). RNAcentral describes it as "long non-coding RNA (GRAI_LNC002746)". The record is from RNAcentral. Lineage: Eukaryota; Viridiplantae; Streptophyta; Magnoliopsida; Malvales; Malvaceae.